CGCCGCGCAGGCCGAGCGCGGCCGCGGCGCUGGCUCGAGAGGCCGCCGCGGCAGGAGUCGGCCGGGGUCGCGCGGAUCGCAGGACCGUUUCCAGCGCAGGGAAACGAGGGAGCGCGCGAGCGCGGCUUGCACGUCCGGUUCCACGUGGGCCGGCCCGUCCUGGGUGGGAGGAACGCGUCCUCGGUGCUCCAGUGCCCGGCGCUGUGCGAGGUGCGGGGGCUGCACACCUCGAGGGGCUUCACAGGGGCAGGAAGCUGGGUGACUAGAUGGCGCAGCUGCUGCGGCCCGUGAUUGCGGAGUGACCCGGAUACCCCGGGCGCUGGCCUGGACCUGGUGGUUGGGAAGGAUGUUUGGGAGGGACCUGAAGGGUGACUUGGAGAGCGCAGGCCAGGCGGAGGGAACAGCGGUGUAAAGGUCCUGAGGCACGGAACGGCAGCCAGUGAGGCUGAAGCGUAGCAGUUUAACCCGUGCCUUAUAUUCUAUGAGAACAUAGAAAAGUGUGUGCCUUAGUCAUGUAGUGUGAAUAUAGAUUUCAAGAGGACGAUACAGAACACUGCAUUAGAUUAGACUAAUUAGUUUCAGGUGUGGGAAAGACUUCCUGUAGCGCCAACAACUGACAGGGCCCUGAAAGUGGGCAAGUUCCCGCCUGGGGGAGUGGGGGUGUCCCAUUUCUUGAGCACCCACCCCAUGCCAGGUCCUACUCUAAUUUCUCACUACAGAACUGGGAGGCAUUUUGCACGUCAGAAAAUGGAGGCUGAAAGAGAUCAAAUGGCUUUUCCAUGGUCAUUGAGCGAGCAAACAGGAGAGGCAAGACCCAUACUCAUGUCCAUUUGGGCUGUGAUGUGUCAGCCUGGUUGCGUUAGAUUUAGGGUUCUGAGGAGGUGGCUGUGCUCUGGGCUGAGGUUCCAUUGUGCCUUGGGAUACAGGUGGUGAUCAGGAAGGAAUACUGACCUUGGUGGGUCCACGUGAAGGGAAAGGCAGCAGACUAGGGAGCCCCCAAGCAGGAGCAGCCUCAAGAGCAGUGGGGGCAGUCUACACGUGCAGGGCCCUCCCCAAUUGGCUCUCUAAAACACUUCCACCAGCUGAAAAGGAAGCAGGCUCUUGUCCCUACAGGGAAGGUGUGAGUUUUGCUAGUAUUUUCACUCAGGAGAAAGCACUUGUGCCUUUUCUUCCCAGCUGGACCUGGGAUUCUGAAUGCUUGAGCAUAGGCUUUAUCAAUUUGAAGGGGUCAGAAAACUGCAGAACAUGUGCCAGUUGUUGCUCAAACCACUGGAACCCAGCUCCAGGCCUCAGGGUUUCUGUCCCACUGAGCACUCUGCAGGCCCAUUCUGGCAGCACAUCAAGGUGCAGUUGGUAGCUGGAGCUCUGCUGUUUUCAGUUAAGUCCCUUUAAGCAGAGGACACCCUCCACUCCCCGGAUGAGGCUUAAGGUUUUUCUACUACGGACAUGCUGUUCUGCUGUUAUUCUGUCCAGAGGAAGUUUACUAUCUCACGUUCUAGAGUGGCCUUCUGUUCUGAACUGACUGCUUCACAAAUACUUCUGCAAGGACAUUUCCACAAAAACC
This 1564-nucleotide long non-coding RNA is filed under the name Marmota monax (woodchuck). Lineage: Eukaryota; Metazoa; Chordata; Mammalia; Rodentia; Sciuridae. The record is from RNAcentral.